UACGUAGGGUGCGAGCGUUGUCCGGAAUUAUUGGGCGUAAAGAGCUCGUAGGCGGUGUGUCGCGUCGGCCGUGAAAACCUGGGGCUUAACUCUGGGCGUGCGGUCGAUACGGGCAUCACUGGAGUUCGGCAGGGGAGACUGGAAUUCCUGGUGUAGCGGUGAAAUGCGCAGAUAUCAGGAGGAACACCGGUGGCGAAGGCGGGCCUCUGGGCCGAUACUGACGCUGAGGAGCGAAAGCAUGGGUAGCGAACAGG
Molecule: ribosomal RNA, 254 nt
Filed under: uncultured bacterium
Lineage: Bacteria
Description: partial 16S ribosomal RNA
Rfam family: Bacterial small subunit ribosomal RNA
Source: RNAcentral